Molecule: transfer RNA, 71 nt
Filed under: Cavia porcellus (domestic guinea pig)
Lineage: Eukaryota; Metazoa; Chordata; Mammalia; Rodentia; Caviidae
Rfam family: tRNA
About the family: Transfer RNA (tRNA) molecules are approximately 80 nucleotides in length. Their secondary structure includes four short double-helical elements and three loops (D, anti-codon, and T loops).
Source: Rfam by way of RNAcentral
GGGGAUAUGGCUCAUGGUAGAGUGCUUGCCUAGCACGUGUGAGGUCCUGGGUUUAAUUCCCAGUACUGCCU